Molecule: long non-coding RNA, 1043 nt
Organism: Oncorhynchus tshawytscha (Chinook salmon)
Lineage: Eukaryota; Metazoa; Chordata; Actinopteri; Salmoniformes; Salmonidae
Source: Ensembl
GGAGCUUGCACCGCAGGACUUAGAGGUACCCAGCGUCACGGCUUCAUUGCUCCAGACCACCACAAGGGGGAGUUAGAGCACUCAUUAUGCAUUUGGGUCCCAAGGUUUCUAUAUGAACAAUCAUAUCGAGUGGUUCCAAUGAUGAAUUUUGACGCGAGCCACCCUUGCCUUCAUGGCGUGCUUCAACAAAGAUGGCUGACAAAGCAUUAUGGUGGAGCCAGAUGCAAACCCAUCAUAGACAACAACACAGAUGCCAUCUAUGGGAGCAGAAAGACCAUCUGUGUGAUCAGCCGCUGCUACCGGAGAGUGAGUGGUGCUCCAGAGAGAUCCAGGUGGCCAGUAAGAAGCUGACUGCUCUGGCCAAAACUCUGGCUAGUCAUACUCCCAGAAGAUGAUGGCAUUUCAUUGGCCAAGGGAGGAUAUGGAUGACCAUGAAUGAGGUAAUAAUGUAUUUAUAUGACAUGUGACACAUCAUUUCUCUUGUCUCGCCAGAUAGCGGCGAUAAUUGUUUCUCCUGCGGUUGGAAACCUAGGAAGCACUUUUCCCUGGGAGGAAAUGGAAACCAGUGGCUAUAACAUGUCAGCGGUGGUGUUUGGAGGAAUAAUAUACAUUAGGGUUAUGAGGGUUUAUAGCCACACACACGUCUGGUUUAUCCUGAGAGUCAAACAGAAGAGGGUUCAUGGCAGACCACCCCGAUAGCAUAGCAAACUGUGGCACAAAAAAGUGUGUGUGUGCAGUCUGCAUGUGCUGUAUUCCUUUGUUCAUAGUGCAAAGACAAGCUAGGCAUUUAAUCAAAGACACACACGCCAACCCGAAAAUGGACAAGUUUAAUAACCAAGAAGACACACAGAAAGCCACUUGACAAAAAGGGAGGGAGUACAAUGCAAAUUAUAAUGUGAGAUCUGGAAAAUAUGCCAUUUUUUUUCCCACCAAUGGUGUUUCCACCAAAUGGACUUGUUGCAGAUAAAAAUCUGUGCGUGAUGAUGCAAUGCACACAAUGUACUUAAUUUUUUUUUUUUAAUUACGUUUUCAUGAACCUAAUA